CUGCCCAUCAAGCCCGGCUUGUGUGUUGGGUCGUCGUCCCCCCCGGGGGACGGGCCCGAAAGGCAGCGGCGGCACCGUGUCCGGUCCUCGAGCGUAUGGGGCUUUGUCACCCGCUCGACUAGGGCCGGCCGGGCGCCAGCCGACGUCUCCAACCAUUUUUCUUCAGG
Molecule: unclassified non-coding RNA, 167 nt
Filed under: uncultured Aspergillus
Lineage: Eukaryota; Fungi; Ascomycota; Eurotiomycetes; Eurotiales; Aspergillaceae
Description: sequence contains ITS2
Source: RNAcentral